RNAcentral lists this ribosomal RNA (269 nucleotides) under Pseudoduganella ginsengisoli. RNAcentral's name for it is "Bacterial small subunit ribosomal RNA". It matches the Rfam family "Bacterial small subunit ribosomal RNA", at positions 331 to 592 of the family's 1533-position model. Lineage: Bacteria; Pseudomonadati; Pseudomonadota; Betaproteobacteria; Burkholderiales; Oxalobacteraceae. The record is from Rfam by way of RNAcentral.
CCAGACUCCUACGGGAGGCAGCAGUGGGGAAUUUUGGACAAUGGGGGCAACCCUGAUCCAGCAAUGCCGCGUGAGUGAAGAAGGCCUUCGGGUUGUAAAGCUCUUUUGUCAGGGAAGAAACGAUCCUCUCUAAUACAGGGGAUUAAUGACGGUACCUGAAGAAUAAGCACCGGCUAACUACGUGCCAGCAGCCGCGGUAAUACGUAGGGUGCAAGCGUUAAUCGGAAUUACUGGGCGUAAAGCGUGCGCAGGCGGUUUUGUAAGACUGU